This 445-nucleotide ribosomal RNA is filed under the name uncultured bacterium. RNAcentral's name for it is "bacterial SSU rRNA". It matches the Rfam family "Bacterial small subunit ribosomal RNA", at positions 16 to 507 of the family's 1533-position model. The record is from RNAcentral.
AUCAUGGCUCAGAACGAACGCUGGCGGCAGGCCUAACACAUGCAAGUCGAGCGAACCCUUCGGGGUUAGCGGCGGACGGGUUAGUAACGCGUGGGAAUAUACCCUUUGGUACGGAAUAGCCUCGGGAAACUGAGAGUAAUACCGUAUGUGCCCUUCGGGGGAAAGAUUUAUCGCCAAAGGAUUAGCCCGCGUUGGAUUAGAUAGUUGGUGGGGUAAUGGCCUACCAAGUCUACGAUCCAUAGCUGGUUUGAGAGGAUGAUCAGCAACACUGGGACUGAGACACGGCCCAGACUCCUACGGGAGGCAGCAGUGGGGAAUCUUAGACAAUGGGCGCAAGCCUGAUCUAGCCAUGCCGCGUGGACGAUGAAGGCCUUAGGGUUGUAAAGUCCUUUCAGAUGGGAAGAUAAUGACGGUACCAUCAGAAGAAGCCCCGGCUAACUCCGUG